UUGGACUAUGGGCGAAAGCCUGAUCCAGCCAUGCCGCGUGUGUGAAGAAGGUCUUCGGAUUGUAAAUCACUUUACGUUGUGAGGAAGGGCAGUAAGUUAAUACGUUGCUGUUUUUACGUUACCGACAGAAUAAGCACCGUCUACCUUCGUGCCAGCAGCCGCGGUAAUACGAAGGGUGCAAGCGUUAAUCGGAAUUACUGUGCGUAAAGCGCGCGUAGGUGGUUUGUUAAGUUGGAAGUGAAAGCACCGGGCUCAACCUGGGAACUGCUUUCAAAACUGGCAAGCUAGAGUAUAGCAGAGGGUGGUGGAAUUUCCUGUGUAGCGGUGAAAUGCGUAGAUAUAGGAAGGAACAUCAGUGGCGAAGGCGACUACCUGGACUGAUACUGACACUGAGGUGCGAAAGCGUGGGGAGCAAACAGG
Molecule: ribosomal RNA, 420 nt
Filed under: uncultured bacterium
Lineage: Bacteria
Description: partial 16S ribosomal RNA
Rfam family: Bacterial small subunit ribosomal RNA
Source: RNAcentral